RNAcentral lists this long non-coding RNA (365 nucleotides) under Taeniopygia guttata (zebra finch). RNAcentral describes it as "lncRNA (ENSTGUG00000028664.1)". Lineage: Eukaryota; Metazoa; Chordata; Aves; Passeriformes; Estrildidae. The record is from RNAcentral.
AGCCUGAUGAGAGAGGAUGGGGAGAAGGAGCAGAACUCCAUCAACAAACCUCACAUCUGGAGGCACAGCAUGGCCCGGGAGCAUGAAUCUGCUCCUACCCUUCAGCAUGGGCAGAAAUUCAGGCAAUAAAGAGAAUAAUGAGGUCAUUUUGACCCUCCAAAAAGUCCCUGGAAGUCCAGAGUGGUAUGAGGAGAGCAGCAGGACCCAUCUGGAAAAUGUGUUGAAGGCCAUAAAACACCAUCCUUCAAAUUUGAAAGGUUAGACUGAAUUAUUCAGCAAUCUUUUCAUUAUUUGCAGGGGUUAAUUAUGGGAUUAAAUUGGUGCAUCCUCCACAGUGUUGGGUGAUGCCUCCAAUGAGACAACAC